UCCGUAGGUGAACCUGCGGAAGGAUCAUUACCAAAAGAUAUUCUUUCAACUCGAAAGAUCUUUUCCUUUGUGCUGGCUUUGACCGUAUGUAAUUUUGGGACUUAAACAUGGUAGAGCCUUAUGGUUUGACCGGUCCCAAAAACAAUAUAUCAUCCUUAUGAAAAACUUACUGAACAACUAAACAAUGAUUUUAAUAAUCUGUUUAAAACAACUUUCAACAACGGAUCUCUUGGUUCUCGCAUCGAUGAAGAACGCAGCGAAAUGCGAUACGUAAUGUGAAUUGCAGAAUUCAGUGAAUCAUCGAAUCUUUGAACGCACAUUGCACUCCUUGGUAUUCCGAGGAGUAUGCCUGUUUCAGUAUCAUGAGCACUCUCACACCUAACCUUUGGGUUAUGCUGUGGAAUUGGGAUGCGCCGAUUUUUACUAGUCGGCACUCCUAAAAUGUAGCUCUUGGCUGUUUCCUACUACAGCAGUUUGGCCUAAUAGUUUUGACUUUUGUCAAAUCUUUGGCUACAUUUGCUUCUGGAAAUCAGUCUUGAUAAUACAGAAAACUCAUUUCAAACUUUGAUCUGAAAUCAGGUAGGGCUACCCGCUGAACUUAAGCAUAUCAAUAAGCGGAGGA
This 622-nucleotide ribosomal RNA is filed under the name Umbelopsis isabellina. Its description in RNAcentral is "eukaryotic LSU rRNA". The stretch from base 210 to 363 matches the Rfam family "5.8S ribosomal RNA". Lineage: Eukaryota; Fungi; Mucoromycota; Umbelopsidomycetes; Umbelopsidales; Umbelopsidaceae. The record is from RNAcentral.